RNAcentral lists this ribosomal RNA (199 nucleotides) under uncultured bacterium. RNAcentral's name for it is "partial 16S ribosomal RNA". It matches the Rfam family "Bacterial small subunit ribosomal RNA", at positions 328 to 539 of the family's 1533-position model. The record is from RNAcentral.
ACGCUCGACACCUACGGGAGGCAGCAGUGGGGAAUAUUGCACAAUGGGGGAAACCCGUGAUGCAGCGACGCCGCGUGAGCGAAGAAGUAUUUCGGUAUGUAAAGCUCUAUCAGCAGGGAAGAAACUGACGGUACCUGACUAAGAAGCACCGGCUAAAUACGUGUCAGCAGCCGCGGUAAUCUGAGCGGGCUGGCAAGGC